CCAAUAGCGUAUCUUAAAGUUGCUGCAGUUAAAAAGCUCGUAGUUGAAUUUCGGGACCAAUAUGUCGGUCGUGCCUCGGUACGUACUGGCAUCGUUGGUUUCUCCCUUCUGACGAACCAUGAUGUCAUUUAUUUGGUGUCGUGGGGAAUCAGGACUGUUACUUUGAAAAAAUUAGAGUGUUUAAAGCAGGCUCACGCUUGAAUACAUUAGCAUGGAAUAAUGAAAUAGGACGUUUGAUUCUAUUUUGUUGGUUUCUAGGAUCGACGUAAUGAUUAAUAGGGAUAGUUGGGGGCAUUAGUAUUCAAUUGUCAGAGGUGAAAUUCUUGGAUUUAUUGAAGACUAACUACUGCGAAAGCAUUUGCCAAGGAUGUUUUCAUUAAUCAAGAACGAAAGUUAGGGGAUCGAAGACGAUCAGAUACCGUCGUAGUCUUAACCAUAAACUAUGCCGACUAGGGAUCGGAUGAUGUUAAUUUUUUAAUGACUCAUUCGGCGCCUUACG
RNAcentral lists this ribosomal RNA (499 nucleotides) under uncultured Glomeromycotina. RNAcentral's name for it is "partial small subunit ribosomal RNA". It matches the Rfam family "Eukaryotic small subunit ribosomal RNA", at positions 591 to 1092 of the family's 1831-position model. Lineage: Eukaryota; Fungi; Glomeromycota. The record is from RNAcentral.